UACGGAAUGUGCAAACGUUAUUCGGAAUCACUGGGCUUAAAGAGUCCGUAGGCGGCAUGUUAGGUGAGGUGUGAAAUCCUCCGGCUCAACCGAGGAAUUGCGCUUCAAACCGGCGUGCUUGAGGAAGAUAGAGGUGGGCGGAAUUGAUGGUGGAGCGGUGAAAUGCGUUGAUAUCAUCAGGAACACCGGAGGCGAAAGCGGCCCACUGGGUCUUUUCUGACGCUGAGGGACGAAAGCUAGGGGAGCGAACGGG
RNAcentral lists this ribosomal RNA (253 nucleotides) under uncultured bacterium. Its description in RNAcentral is "partial 16S ribosomal RNA". It matches the Rfam family "Bacterial small subunit ribosomal RNA", at positions 524 to 776 of the family's 1533-position model. The record is from RNAcentral.